CCCAAUUCUAUAAUUGUUACAACUUUUACACAGUAUUACAAACUUAAAAAUGUAAACUUUCAAGGAAAAAAACAUAAUUUGAUUAUAAUUAUUCUUAUUUUGGGACUUUGUAAUCCAGAAAUCAAAUUGCUCAUUUAAGUGGAAGCAAUGUUUCUCACGGUAUUUAAUAUCUAGAACAGUAAGUCGGGUUUAAGUUUAAAAUCACCAUUUCACAUGUAAUCUGUUGAUUUAGCCACAAAUUAUACAUUUAUUAUAAAUGAACAUACUGAGUAUUUCUGUAGUGUACAUUGCAGUUUCAAAGGGUGAAAAAUGUUUUGUUUAAAAAAGAAAAAAGAAAAAAAAAAAGAAAAAAAGUUACCCAAACGGUCUCCGGUUAUUUUAUUCAUUGAUUAUUCAUAUGCACCUUUUACAUUACAAAUGUGCAUUUCAUGAAUAUAAAUAAAAUGUAUGACAACUGUUUCACUUAAACACUCAACCAUUGCAAAAUAAAACCACAAAUGUGACAUUACCUGUGUUAUCACAAUGUAGUUGCACCUUUAUAUAGACCUUUAUGUGCCAAAAGGGAAAGUGCUCCUCCCUUAGACAUUGAAAGGGUUAGAUUUGUACCUGAAGAAAAACAGAUUUGCAAUAAUAUAGUCAUAACAAGGGUGAAUCAUAUGUUUAGCUUAACAGUCUUUCUAGUUACUUGUGUGAAUAAAACCGUUCACAUUAAAGUAGGCAGAUUGUUUUUUGUUUAACAAAGUCUUCACUACCAUAUAACUUUAAAGUCUAUGCAAAAAUAUAUUUCUGCAGAUUGCUAAACAGAGCUUGUCUGUAUAUUAUAUGGGAAAAAAAAAAGAAGAUAUUAAAGAUUAAAC
Non-coding RNA from Pelobates cultripes (western spadefoot toad), 857 nucleotides. The record is from the annotation of a GenBank genome assembly. NCBI's taxonomy places the organism in Eukaryota, Metazoa, Chordata, Amphibia, Anura, Pelobatidae.